AUUGAACGCUGUCGGCAGGCCUCACACAUGCAAGUCGAACGAGUGGCGGACGGGUGAGUAAUGUCUGGGAAACUGCCUGAUGGAGGGGGAUAACUACUGGAAACGGUAGCUAAUACCGCAUACCAUCGGAUGUGCCCAGAUGGGAUUAGCUAGUAGGGGGGGUAACGGCUCACCUAGGCGACUAUCCCUAGCUGGGCUGAGAGGCUGACCAGCCACACGGUGACUGAGACACGGUCCAGACUCCUACGGUAGGCAGCAGUGGGGAAUAGUGCACAAUGGGCGAAAGCCUGAUGCAGCCAUGCCGAGUGUAUGAAGAAGGCCUUCGGGUUGUAAAGUACUUUCAGCUGGUAGGCGUUACCCGCAGAAGAAGCACCGGCUAACUCCGUGCCAGCAGCCGCGGUAAUAC
This 406-nucleotide ribosomal RNA is filed under the name uncultured bacterium. RNAcentral's name for it is "partial 16S ribosomal RNA". It matches the Rfam family "Bacterial small subunit ribosomal RNA", at positions 30 to 526 of the family's 1533-position model. The record is from RNAcentral.